GUCUACGGCCAUACCAAGCUGAAAGCACCUGAUCUCUUCUGAUCUCAGAAGCGAAGCAGGGUUGGGCCUGCUUAGUACUUGG
RNAcentral lists this ribosomal RNA (82 nucleotides) under Ailuropoda melanoleuca (giant panda). Lineage: Eukaryota; Metazoa; Chordata; Mammalia; Carnivora; Ursidae. The record is from RNAcentral.